This 518-nucleotide ribosomal RNA is filed under the name uncultured bacterium. Its description in RNAcentral is "partial 16S ribosomal RNA". It matches the Rfam family "Bacterial small subunit ribosomal RNA", at positions 355 to 866 of the family's 1533-position model. The record is from RNAcentral.
UGGGGAAUUUUGGACAAUGGGGGAAACCCUGAUCCAGCCAUCCCGCGUGUGCGAUGAAGGCCUUCGGGUUGUAAAGCACUUUUGGCAGGAAAGAAACGUCGCGGGUUAAUACCCCGCGAAACUGACGGUACCUGCAGAAUAAGCACCGGCUAACUACGUGCCAGCAGCCGCGGUAAUACGUAGGGUGCAAGCGUUAAUCGGAAUUACUGGGCGUAAAGCGUGCGCAGGCGGUUCGGAAAGAAAGAUGUGAAAUCCCAGAGCUUAACUUUGGAACUGCAUUUUUAACUACCGGGCUAGAGUGUGUCAGAGGGAGGUGGAAUUCCGCGUGUAGCAGUGAAAUGCGUAGAUAUGCGGAGGAACACCGAUGGCGAAGGCAGCCUCCUGGGAUAACACUGACGCUCAUGCACGAAAGCGUGGGGAGCAAACAGGAUUAGAUACCCUGGUAGUCCACGCCCUAAACGAUGUCAACUAGCUGUUGGGGCCUUCGGGCCUUGGUAGCGCAGCUAACGCAUUAAACA